This 466-nucleotide ribosomal RNA is filed under the name uncultured bacterium. Its description in RNAcentral is "partial 16S ribosomal RNA". It matches the Rfam family "Bacterial small subunit ribosomal RNA", at positions 28 to 507 of the family's 1533-position model. The record is from RNAcentral.
GAUGAACGCUGGCGGCGUGCUUAACACAUGCAAGUCGAACGGAAAGGCUCCUGCUUGCAGGGGCACUCGAGUGGCGAACGGGUGAGUAACACGUGGGUGAUCUGCCCUGCACUUCGGGAUAAGCCUGGGAAACUGGGUCUAAUACCGGAUAGGACCAUCGUUUAGUGUCGGGGGUGGAAAGUUUUUUCGGUGUGGGAUGGGCUCGCGGCCUAUCAGCUUGUUGGUGGGGUAAUGGCUUACCAAGGCGCCGACGGGUAGCCGGCCUGAGAGGGUGUACGGCCACAUUGGGACUGAGAUACGGCCCAGACUCCUACGGGAGGCAGCAGCGGGGAAUAUUGCACAAUGGGCGCAAGCCUGAUGCAGCGACGCCGCGUGGGGGAUGACGGCCUUCGGGUUGUAAACUCCUUUCGCCAGGGACGAAGCGAAAGUGACGGUACCUGGAUAAGAAGCACCGGCUAACUACGUG